ACGAACAUUAUUGUAGAGAAAGAAGGAAACACGAACAACAGUAUUGGAGAGAAAGAUAACAUAAAAAGAAAGAAAAAGAAGAAAGAAGGGGGAAGAGAUAAAAAGGUACAAAGAUAAGGCCGCGAGAAGGAGAAAAAACGAGGUGGAGGGUGCGACCGCUCCAAAAGGGCACGGUUGUUAUUCCGUCGGAGACGGUGACAGUACAAAGUUACAACAGGUACAAAUGUAUCAAUGAGCAAAGCUUGUGCAUCAAUAGCAGAGUCAACAUCAGCAGAGCAAGACGCAUCAAUAGAGAACAAAACAGAGGUAUAACAGGAAAUAAAAAAUAUCCAACUUCGUUGAGCCUACCCAUCAAGUGGUCCUCCUACUAUAGAUAUGCAUGCAGUCAUAUGAGCUAAUCAUACAGGUAGAUAUUUUAAAAGCCACCAAAAAAUAAUCAAACAAAAAUCUUAAUUUUAA
Cicer arietinum (chickpea) is the source of this 459-nucleotide non-coding RNA. Lineage: Eukaryota; Viridiplantae; Streptophyta; Magnoliopsida; Fabales; Fabaceae. The record is from RefSeq and is a predicted model, not a curated record.